This 255-nucleotide long non-coding RNA is filed under the name Elaeis guineensis (African oil palm). Its description in RNAcentral is "long non-coding RNA (EGUI_LNC050760)". Lineage: Eukaryota; Viridiplantae; Streptophyta; Magnoliopsida; Arecales; Arecaceae. The record is from RNAcentral.
UGUGACAGGCAAAGGAACAAAGUGACAAGCAAAAAGUAGCUAUAAAUAUUGUCUCUAGCUAGCCAUGAUUGAAAUCUCAGCCCUUCUCUACUGCAAAUGCCGACAUGUUGCACAAUCCAUACCAUCAUAUGUCCCAACUUUUUGAUGCACCUGACCUAUGAUCGUGCCACAUAGGGUAGGAUUUGCAGGAGCAAUCUACCAUCAACUACAAUUUGACAUGUGGAGGGCACGGCUAAUUCAAGGAUGAUUUCAUAG